AUAUACUACAUUGGCAAUUUAAAUCUCUUAAAAUCUUGAAUGAAAUUUCAUUUAUAAUCUGGUAGUUUUUUUUGUUUUUUUUUAUUGUAUUAAGCAAUAAUAUUGUCGACUGUUAUUUAGUGUUUUUUGUUACAUUUUGAUAAUUCGAGAUAACUUGGAAAAAUGAGACAUGUAAGUUGUACGCCUAUCGAAUAGUAAUAAAAAUAAUAAGUUAAUUGCUAAUCGUGCUUCAUAUAUUGUU
Molecule: long non-coding RNA, 241 nt
Filed under: Mytilus galloprovincialis (Mediterranean mussel)
Lineage: Eukaryota; Metazoa; Mollusca; Bivalvia; Mytilida; Mytilidae
Source: RNAcentral